AGGAUACAAGGAAAAUAUGAGAACAACAGGGAAAUACUGACAACCUUAUCUAUACAUAAGGGUAAAAAGGUCAAUACAACCAAGUCAACAGAAUAUUCGAAUAAACAGAGUACAAAGAAAAAGAAUCCCAUCCAACAAGCCUGGAGGUGAUUCUCAACAAAAAAGAUCCAAAGACGGAGUACAAACAAAUGAAUCCCAUCCAACAAGCCUGGAGGUGAUUCUCAAUAAAUACAAACAAAGAUACAAUCUAAGA
This 253-nucleotide long non-coding RNA is filed under the name Lathyrus oleraceus (garden pea). RNAcentral's name for it is "Pisum sativum (pea) long non-coding RNA (PSAT_LNC026376)". Lineage: Eukaryota; Viridiplantae; Streptophyta; Magnoliopsida; Fabales; Fabaceae. The record is from RNAcentral.